AUCUUAUCCUUAAAGGUAAAUCCAAUGUACCAUACUUUAUAUUAUUGAUCUAACAUAGCUUGCUCGUUAUGUUUGAACAUUUCGUACUCAGAAUAAACAUUUCUCAGAUCUAACCUUUCUUCUUUUUAUCUGUUUUGCAUGUUGGAUCGGAUUACUUUCUUUCUUAUUCCAAUGAGAUGGAAACUUCUUGCGAUAACUUCAAAGUAAAUAAUUUCAUCUUCAAAUUUUAUUGGGUACAAAUUCAUCUGGACCCAAAUAUACGAAAGGUCUGCCAAUAGGAGUCCACAAACAUCUCUACAAAUGAAGAGUGACUAUAUUAAUAAACAUUGAUAAAGGAAUUACAGAUUAUGUCAUCCAGUCUAUGGACUACAACCAUUCAGCUGGAAGUUAAGUGUUUUACUAAAUACCA
This is a long non-coding RNA of Raphanus sativus (radish), 409 nucleotides long. RefSeq lists it as uncharacterized. The record is from RefSeq and is a predicted model, not a curated record. The transcript is spliced from 3 exons. NCBI's taxonomy places the organism in Eukaryota, Viridiplantae, Streptophyta, Magnoliopsida, Brassicales, Brassicaceae.